ACCCGCACAAGCGGUGGAGCGCGUGGUUUAAUUCGAUGGUAAUCGAAGAACCUUACCAAGGUUUGACAUAUAGCUGCUAGUCCUGUGAAAGCAGGAAAUCCUUCGAGGGUGCUAUACAGGUGCUGCAUGGCCGCCGUCAGCUCGUGUCGUGAGAUGUAGGGUUAAGUCCCGAAACGAGCGCAACCCUUAUCCCGUGUUAUAAGUAUCUCGGGAAACUGCCUCGGUAAAACGAGGAGGAAGGUGGGGAUGACGUCUGGUCCGCAUGGCCUUUAUGCCUUGGGCGACACACGCGCUACAAUGGUCGGUACAAAGAGCUGCCAAACUGUAAAGUGGAGCAAAUCUCAUCAAAACCGAUCUCAGUUCGGAUUGAGGUCUGAAACUCGACCUCAUGAAGUUGGAAUAGCUAGUAAUCGUGGAUCAGCCAUGCCACGGUGAAUACGUUCUCGGGUCUUGCACACACCGCCCGUCAUGUCAUGAAAGCUGGGGGUACCUGAAG
RNAcentral lists this ribosomal RNA (496 nucleotides) under uncultured bacterium. RNAcentral's name for it is "bacterial SSU rRNA". It matches the Rfam family "Bacterial small subunit ribosomal RNA", at positions 919 to 1426 of the family's 1533-position model. The record is from RNAcentral.